GACUUGGCUGACACUUGGUGAGGAUGGGCGCAGCUCCGACACUAGCUUUUAGGCUUUGCGGGGAGGAGAAAAGAGCAGGAGUCGCCGCACUCAGGAAUCCCAAGGUGACGCCGCUGCCUACCGGCUUCCCUCCUUCCCCCUCCUGGCUGUGGAGCGACUCCGAAAAGUUCCCCCGGCGGAGACCGCACCGCGCGGCGUGGGCACCGGGCCUCGCUCUCGGGCAGCCAGAAGCAGCAGCGUUGCCCCUGCCCAGCUGAGGGAGUACACGGAGCUCUUAGUUACUAUGUGAGCAGGAAUCCCUGCUGCGCAAAUAGACACCAACACACGGUGCAGGUCGUGAAGCUAAGUAGAUGUAAACCCCUCCCAACACUGGAAGAGGGAACAGAGACUGGCAUGCUGUGCAGUCUCACUGAACUAGAAUGCGCAACUCCUGCUCCUAUCUCCACUCUGGGAAAUGCCUGCUGCAUUUCACGGCCACGGCAGCACUUGGGAAAGGAUGGUAUGUACUUGCUGCAGAGGCCCUAGAGAUGGCUAUCCUGUGUUCCUGCUCUCCUUCUCAUUGGGCUUCUACCCCCAUCCCCCAACAAAAACGCUACAGGUUAUAAGAUCUACAUUUUGAACCUGGCUUUCAGGCACUAGGUGUGUUCUGUGUGGCACAACUCUAGGGGCAACAUAGCCUUGACCAUCGUGGUGAAGGUGUCUAUUUACUAUGAUACAUUUCAGCAGAUGGCAGUGAAGUGUCUUGCGGAAGAGGUGUUUUUAUCAUUUGAAGGUUAUGGGAUGUAAUAAUAAAGACUGCAAUUCACAGACCUUGAGCCUAGCAGACCAAUGCGAAGGGCAGAACUGUUGGCCCCCACGGCACAGUUCCACGGCGAAGGGGGCUGGCUAGUGAGGAGAAAGGAAGAUAGAAGACUGAAGUAAGAUGUAAACAGCCGUAUUUUCAACAUAAUUUACUACAGGUCUCUGAAGUGUAUAUAAAAUGUUUUAGUGCAACAUCUUACAAAUAGUUUUCCUUUAAAAAACAAAAACAAAUCAACAGCUCUCUACAUCAUGCAUGGGUAGUCUUCUUACCCCAUCUUUUUUUUUUCUUUUCUUCUUCAAUAAUUAACGCAGAGAAACCAUUGUUUGAAAAGAAUAUGAAAACUUGCUACAGAAACACCCGGUGAAAGAGGGUGCGGUCAUAUUCAUGUCUUGGAAUGCGCCUAGCACAGUGUAGUUUUUCAUAAAUGCAACGUUGUAGACAUAGAUGAAUCGAGAGUAUUCAGCGUUUUCCUCUCGGUCUCAGAAGACUAAGGCUCCAGUAGACAAUGCGCAGUGAGGCCUCAAAGCCACUGGAGGGCACCAUUACCACUCAUCUGACAUCGCAUUUCCGUAGAAAUGGCCAAAGACUAAAGUAAGUCCUGGGGUUCUUCAUGGGAAGUUCGAAAAA
Callithrix jacchus (white-tufted-ear marmoset) is the source of this 1429-nucleotide non-coding RNA. NCBI's taxonomy places the organism in Eukaryota, Metazoa, Chordata, Mammalia, Primates, Cebidae. The record is from RefSeq and is a predicted model, not a curated record.